Molecule: unclassified non-coding RNA, 376 nt
Filed under: Hevea brasiliensis (rubber tree)
Lineage: Eukaryota; Viridiplantae; Streptophyta; Magnoliopsida; Malpighiales; Euphorbiaceae
Source: RNAcentral
GCAGAACUGUCACGUGUUCAUAUCCUCCUAUUUCCUCUUUCAAUUCAUUCUUGGUGUCUGCAGUUCCAAACAAGACAAACCCCACUUCAUCAUAUCUGCUGAAAACCAGCUUCUUCUGUAUCAACAAUGAGCAAACUUUUUCAAUCUCAGGUAAAACCGAGUGCAUGGAAGGACCCACAUCAAUUACCAAUACCAACGCUUCCUUAUUACGAGCCAUUAGAAGGGAAAUGAGCGUUCACGGCUGUUUGGUUCUUCUUCUUCCCGCGCCCUUAGUUGAAUACUUGGCAGUUUCUCAAAACUUGCACUGGAAUUUUCACAUAGUGCUUCUCCAAUUUAGUAUUUGAAAAUUGAAGAAAGGGAGAAUUCACACGUCGGC